This 382-nucleotide ribosomal RNA is filed under the name uncultured organism. RNAcentral's name for it is "bacterial SSU rRNA". It matches the Rfam family "Bacterial small subunit ribosomal RNA", at positions 367 to 762 of the family's 1533-position model. The record is from RNAcentral.
CGCAAUGGGCGAAAGUCUGACGGAGCGACGCCGCGUGAAAGAGGAAGUGCUUCGGCACGUAAAAUUCUUUUAUAGGGGAGAAAGUUUAUUGAUAGUACCCUACGAAUAAGAGGCUACAAACUCUGUGCCAGCAGUAGCGGUAAUACAAAGGCCUCAAGCGUUAUCCGGAAUUACUGGGCGUAAAGGGUGUGUAGGUGGUCUAGUUAGUCUUUCGUUAAAUUCUUCGGCUUAACCGGGGACAUGCGGGAGAAACGGCUAGACUAGAGGAUGCAAGAGGUACAUGGAACUCAUGGAGUAGGGGUGAAAUCCGUUGAUAUCAUGAGGAACACCAAAAGCGAAGGCAGUGUACUGGUGCAUUCCUGACACUCAAACACGAAAGCGU